UACGUAGGGUCCGAGCGUUGUCCGGAAUUACUGGGCGUAAAGAGCUCGUAGGUGGUUUGUCGCGUUGUUCGUGAAAACUCACAGCUCAACUGUGGGCGUGCGGGCGAUACGGGCAGACUUGGGUACUGCAGGGGAGACUGGAAUUCCUGGCGUAGCGGUGGAAUGCGCAGAUAUCAGGAGGAACACCGGUGGCGAAGGCGGGUCUCUGGGCAGUAACUGACGCUGAGGAGCGAAAGCGUGGGGAGCGAACAGG
This 253-nucleotide ribosomal RNA is filed under the name uncultured bacterium. RNAcentral describes it as "partial 16S ribosomal RNA". It matches the Rfam family "Bacterial small subunit ribosomal RNA", at positions 524 to 776 of the family's 1533-position model. The record is from RNAcentral.